CUCCCCCACCCCCGUAUUAUCUUAAAAAUUAGAUUGUUUUCUGCUGGUUGCUUUCUGAAAUUCUACUGGACCUAAUGCCAUUGGAAAUGGAUGGGGAGAAGGCCUGAUGAAAAUUACUGAGGAAGCCUCUUAGCCUAUGUGCUCUGAGAGUAGUGACACCUAGCAGUCGUUAAGACCACUUAAAUUAUCCUAAGACAAUGGAUGUGAACAGGCACUUUUCAAAAGAAGACAUACAUGCAGCCAACAAUCAAAUGAAAAAAAGCUCUACAUUA
RNAcentral lists this long non-coding RNA (272 nucleotides) under Homo sapiens (human). Its description in RNAcentral is "HSALNT0208713". Lineage: Eukaryota; Metazoa; Chordata; Mammalia; Primates; Hominidae. The record is from RNAcentral.